RNAcentral lists this ribosomal RNA (475 nucleotides) under uncultured organism. RNAcentral's name for it is "partial 16S ribosomal RNA". It matches the Rfam family "Bacterial small subunit ribosomal RNA", at positions 334 to 800 of the family's 1533-position model. The record is from RNAcentral.
CACUCCUACGGGAGGCAGCAGUGGGGAAUUUUGGACAAUGGGCGAAAGCCUGAUCCAGCAAUGCCGCGUGUGUGAAGAAGGCCUUCGGGUUGUAAAGCACUUUUGUCCGGAAAGAAAUCCUUGGCUCUAAUACAGUCGGGGGAUGACGGUACCGGAAGAAUAAGCACCGGCUAACUACGUGCCAGCAGCCGCGGUAAUACGUAGGGUGCGAGCGUUAAUCGGAAUUACUGGGCGUAAAGCGUGCGCAGGCGGUUUGCUAAGACCGAUGUGAAAUCCCCGGGCUCAACCUGGGAACUGCAUUGGUGACUGGCAGGCUAGAGUAUGGCAGAGGGGGGUAGAAUUCCACGUGUAGCAGUGAAAUGCGUAGAGAUGUGGAGGAAUACCGAUGGCGAAGGCAGCCCCCUGGGCCAAUACUGACGCUCAUGCACGAAAGCGUGGGGAGCAAACAGGAUUAGAAACCCCUGUAGUCCCAUGA